ACGAACGCUGGCGGCGUGCCUAAUACAUGCCAGUUGAGCGAUGAAGAUUGGUGCUUGCACCAAUUUGAAGAGCAGCGAACGGGUGAGUAACGCGUGGGGAAUCUGCCUUUGAGCGGGGGACAACAUUUGGAAACGAAUGCUAAUACCGCAUAACAACUUUAAACAUAAGUUUUAAGUUUGAAAGAUGCAAUUGCAUCACUCAAAGAUGAUCCCGCGUUGUAUUAGCUAGUUGGUGAGGUAAAGGCUCACCAAGGCGAUGAUACAUAGCCGACCUGAGAGGGUGAUCGGCCACAUUGGGACUGAGACACGGCCCAAACGCCUACGGGAGGCAGCAGUAGGGAAUCUUCGGCAAUGGACGAAAGUCUGACCGAGCAACGCCGCGUGAGUGAAGAAGGGUUUCGGAUCGUAAAACUCUGUUGGUAGAGAAGAACGUUGGUGAGAGUGGAAAGCUCAUCAAGUGACGGUAACUACCCAGAAAGGGACGGCUAACUACGUG
RNAcentral lists this ribosomal RNA (496 nucleotides) under uncultured bacterium. RNAcentral describes it as "partial 16S ribosomal RNA". It matches the Rfam family "Bacterial small subunit ribosomal RNA", at positions 29 to 507 of the family's 1533-position model. The record is from RNAcentral.